GGAACUGAAGUCUUAGCUUUGUCUAAGUGCCUGUGCAGACCCCUCCAAGAACUUUUCUUAAAAUAGCAGUGUUGAGCACUGGCGAUUCUGGGCCUGGUGUCCAUUGGUAUAGUUAUCGAAACUUUAUUUCUGAGUAAGUAAAACUUUGCAGUGGGGAGGACAUGCCAGAGAAAUGCGGCUGGAGAUCAGUAGCAUGCCUUUUAAAAGCUUUCCAUUGAGCAUGGGGCCUGCCUAAGCAGCUGCUGGCAGAGAAAUAAAUACACUGAUUACCUGGUAUAAGAGAAAAACCUUUAAAAUUUAUUCAAAACUUGCAGUAUGCUUCAAAAGGGUGUUAUUUCUACACCCUAAUGUUAGUUUACAGACAACAGGCCACCACUCAGUCAAUUCUGAGUGUAUUAGUGUAGUGGAAUUGCUAAGUCAUGGCUUUGAACCAGUGAUUGAGCACCUGGUGGGAGGGCAGGGCCAGCCCAGAGGAGCUCAGGUGCAAGUGAUUAGAAGGAGUGGAGCCAGGAUCCAUCCCUUCCCAGAUCGCAUUUAAGGGUUGGCACUGGAAGUGUGGGUAUCUUGCUGGAGGUUCCUGCGUACCUGAAGCCUUCCAAAGGACAAGUAGAGGCUGAAUUGCGUCUGUCCCAGAGGAACCAUGAAUUAAGUCUCUGCAAUCAGUGACAGUUCUGACUUCGGAAACGGGCACGAGCUGGUUUUUCCAAGCGAUCGAGUUACCACAGUUUAAGAGAUUUUCAAAAGCAAUUGCAACAGCCUGAGAGCAUCCACACAGGAAGUUACAGCUCAGCUGGCGCAUGGCAAACCGUGAAGCUGCGUGUUUUCCAGCUAUGCACAUCUCUCCUUUAUCAUUGGACUUGUGAUGGCUCAGUGAUUAUACAGUACUUCAAAAAUCGGAACUUGGCCAAAUUACUUCUCCUUCAUGCCAUUUAGACAGAAGGCUUUCAUAAAAAUUAAACAUGUCCCUGCAUGCCUGAGGUAGGUUGGAAGAAGGAUUCCUUCCACAAGCAGAGUUUUGCAUGCUCUCCUCUUCUGCCUGGCCUCCCCCAGCGGCUGAGAAGUGCACUGGCUGCCAAGCCCCGGGCUUGCAGCACUGAAUGACGUUGUACAGGCUCCAAUCAAGUACCCAGGGGUAGCAGCAUUCUGUUGCUUUCAACCUCUCUUGGAUUUGAAGCGGGGAUACUGAAGACUUGCCAGUAAGAAGCUCCGUAGACUCACCUUGUGUAUGCUGAGAUAGAUGAAACUGGCAAGGGUAGCUGCUGUUUCCCCUCUCUUAACAGUUUAUGACAUCCUUUUGAAGCAUAACAUGUGGUGCUGUGCUCUUCUGCAGGAGCCAGUCCUAUCUCCUUCCCCCACUUCCUUUCUGCUGUUGUUCUGGUAACUGACCACUUAUCGCACUUAUGAUCUUUGUAAUUGAAACUGAGAAAGCCUGUGGCAGGUAAGCCCUGCGUCUGCGUGUGCCUGCUCUGAUUUCUUCCCUCAGCCCUAAAACCACAGCCCUUCCCCCUUUCCCAGUAACAGCAAACCCUAAGCCCAAAUAACUCGCAGAAGCCUGAUGCUAGUGUAUAUUUGAUUUUGUUUGCAAGCUUAUCUUGUGACCGGCUCUCAGCGUGGGAAGAAGCAGGGAGUGGGGGAGAUGGAGAGAGAGUUGUUGCAACAUAUUUUAACAUAUGUGCUUUAGGCCUCUUGGUGGACUCCCUCUUGGGAAGAGGGGAGGGAGCGUGCCCCUAAGCAGUUGGUUGGCUUUGCUUGUUUCUAUAGCAGCCCGAAUGAGAAAAAUCAUGUUUUAACACUAAUAUAUU
This is a long non-coding RNA of Gallus gallus (chicken), 1802 nucleotides long. The record is from Ensembl. Lineage: Eukaryota; Metazoa; Chordata; Aves; Galliformes; Phasianidae.